Molecule: ribosomal RNA, 776 nt
Filed under: uncultured Rubrobacteraceae bacterium
Lineage: Bacteria; Bacillati; Actinomycetota; Rubrobacteria; Rubrobacterales; Rubrobacteraceae
Description: bacterial SSU rRNA
Rfam family: Bacterial small subunit ribosomal RNA
Source: RNAcentral
AAAGCCCUUCGGGGUGAGUAAAGUGGCGAACGGGUGAGUAACACGUGGGUAACCUGCCCCUCGCAGAGGGAUAACUGGGGGAAACCCCAGCUAAUACCUCGUACACUUGCCGGGUCGCAUGGCUCUGGCAAGGAAAGGUAGCUUCGGCCAUCCGGCGAGGGAUGGGCCCGCGGUCCAUUAGCUAGUUGGUGGGGUAAAGGCCCACCAAGGCGACGAUGGAUAGCUGGUCUGAGAGGAUGAUCAGCCACACUGGGACUGAGACACGGCCCAGACUCCUACGGGAGGCAGCAGUCGGGAAUCUUGCGCAAUGGGCGAAAGCCUGACGCAGCAACACCGUGUGGGCGACGAAGGCCUUCGGGUCGUAAAGCCCUGUUGUUGGGGACGAAGGACGAAGGGUUAAUAGCCCCUAGUCUGACGGUACCCUUCGAGGAAGCCCCGGCUAACUACGUGCCAGCAGCCGCGGUAAUACGUAGGGGGCGAGCGUUGUCCGGAAUUAUUGGGCGUAAAGAGCGUGUAGGCGGUUCGGUAAGUCUGCCGUGAAAACCUGGGGCUCAACCCCGGGCGUGCGGUGGAUACUGCCGGGCUAGAGGGUGGUANAGGCGAGUGGAAUUCCCGGUGUAGCGGUGAAAUGCGCAGAUAUCGGGAGGAACACCAGUAGCGAAGGCGGCUCGCUGGGCCAUUCCUGACGCUGAGACGCGAAAGCUAGGGGAGCGAACAGGAUUAGAUACCCUGGUAGUCCUAGCCGUAAGCGAUGAACACUAGGUGUGGGGGGAGUC